GAUGAAGAACGUAGCGAAAUGCGAUAAGUAAUGUGAAUUGCAGAAUUCAGUGAAUCAUCGAAUCUUUGAACGCACAUUGCGCCCUCUGGUAUUCCGGGGGGCAUGCCUGUUCGAGCGUCAUUAUAACCACUCAAGCUCUCGCAUGGUAUUGGGGUUCGCGGUUCCGCGGCCCCUAAAAUCAGUGGCGGUGCCUGUCGGCUCUACGCGUAGUAAUACUCCUCGCGAUUGAGUCCGGUAGGUCUACUUGCCAGCAACCCCCAAUUUUUACAGGUUGACCUCGGAUCAGGUAGGGAUACCCGCUGAACUUAAGCAUAUCAAUAAGCGGAGGA
This 329-nucleotide unclassified non-coding RNA is filed under the name soil metagenome. RNAcentral describes it as "partial contains 5.8S ribosomal RNA, internal transcribed spacer 2, and large subunit ribosomal RNA". The stretch from base 1 to 120 matches the Rfam family "5.8S ribosomal RNA", at positions 35 to 154 of the family's 154-position model. The record is from RNAcentral.